This 1685-nucleotide long non-coding RNA is filed under the name Homo sapiens (human). RNAcentral's name for it is "non-protein coding lnc-KCNIP1-5:1". The record is from RNAcentral. Lineage: Eukaryota; Metazoa; Chordata; Mammalia; Primates; Hominidae.
AGAGCCAACUCAGCACUCUCCUUAGAGGGCAGACCACGGGGGUGGUCCCCUAAUGCCGGAAGGCAGGAGGAAUGGGGAAUCAGCCAUGGAUGGGAGACUGACGUUUCUUUGGCAUUUUCCUAUUUCUUGAAAAGCCAAAACAGGGCUGGCUGUCCCCUCUCUUCCCAGUAAACAGAUCACCCUAGGGUAAGUGCCUAUGUGGUAGAUCUUUAGUUUUUGCUUUUGUUUUUUAAUUUCCAAAGAUAGGAGGGGUACUUGCGUCAGAAUGGCCCAGGGUGCUCGUUAAAGAUGCAAGUCACUGUCUCUCUGAGCCUUAGUUUCCUCUUCUGUAAAAUGGAAAAGGAGGGGCACCGGUAUUUGUACUUGACCAGAGAACUGGAUGCUACUGAGGGCUCUGCAGGCUGAGAGCCCCCAAUGUGGACUGCACAACCUUUGACCCCAUUCUGCUUCUACACCACAGCGUAUCAGACAGCUGACCAUUGAUCAUUGGAUCCUUGGGCAACUCACCUCUUGGGUGCUUGGGAUCAAAGAUGCCAAAAGCAAUUGUCAGAUACAGAAAGGGUAUUUGGAGGUUUGCCUUGUUCUCUGCAUGAGACAACCAAAACAGUGCAUUGUCAUUUGCAGAGUAUCAGAUCCAAGAGGACUCUACUAAGCAAGCAGUUUCUGAGCGUAAAAGCAAAGCUGCAGAGUCAGAUGGCCUGGGCUUAAGAAUCGGGUUCCACGGCCACUUACCAGCAAAAGGACUUGGAACUCGUCACUGAACUUCGCUGUGCCUCAGUGUCCUCAACUGUAAAAAUAAGAUGAUAAUAGAACCGCACUCCUGGAAGGAUUAUAUGAGAUUAUAUGCACAGGUUCUCUCACUCUCACCCUGACGCAGAUGAAUUCCUAAUGAGAUUUUAGUUGUUAUUAUUGAGGCUUACUUCUAACUAAAUGCCGUGCUGGAUGCCUUAGCUGAUUCUGUCAUGUAAUCCUCAUCACCACCAUGUCUAGUAAGUAUAUUUUUGUCCCAUUUUACAGAGGAAAGAAUUGAGACUCAAAGAGAUGAGGUAACUGGUCCAAGGUUAAAGAAGCAGUAAGGAUCGGAGCCAUUAGUUUACUCAUAAAAUAUUUAAUGCUCUCGGUGUGCCAGGUGCUAUUCUAGGCAUUGAGGGUUUUGUGGUACACAAGAUAGACAAUGUUUCUGGUCUUAUGACAAUCACAUCCAGUUGGGGGAGAUUAGGUCUCAGCACCACUCAUACUGCCUCCUUGAGGGGUGAUCGUUCUUAUCAUUGUUCUUGAGCACAUGGCUGGGCAGAAGGAAUCCAGCAGAGGGUUGGAGGCCGGAAUAGUAUGAAGUGUCCAGAAAUAAAUCCUGGUUAUCCAGAGAGGGGGAUAUUUCUUAUGGUGACCUUGGCCCAGUUGAAUGCCCUCUGCCUCUCCCCACUCCCAUCCCUGUGUCUGGGUCUCUGGUCUCUGUACUUAGCAGAACUUGCUGAGAAGAACUCUGAACCUGGGGAUGGGGGAGCAGGUUGAGGGUGGGAUAUAGACCAUCAGGUUCCGAGUGAGGCUUGCAGAGCUUGCAAACUAUGAGUAGAAACAACACUCAUUUUAUAGUCAAAUCUAGCCUUUGCUGCCUGUGACUCCUGAAAACAUUUCCCAAAAUUCACUGAGACCUCCCAUCACUGGGAGGGAGAGCUGCCUCUGCC